UAAGGAAUAUUGGUCAAUGGACGCAAGUCUGAACCAGCCAUGCCGCGUGAAGGAUGAAGGUCCUCUGGAUUGUAAACUUCUUUUGUAGGGGAAGAAACCCUGGUAUUCCUACCAGGUUGACGGUACCCUAGGAAUAAGCACCGGCUAACUCCGUGCCAGCAGCCGCGGUAAUACGGAGGGUGCAAGCGUUAUCCGGAUUCACUGGGUUUAAAGGGUGCGUAGGAGGAUAGGUAAGUCAGUGGUGAAAUCUCCGGGCUUAACUCGGAAACUGCCGUUGAUACUAUUUAUCUUGAAUUCUGUGGAGGUGAGCGGAAUAUGUCAUGUAGCGGUGAAAUGCUUAGAUAUGACAUAGAACACCAAUUGCGAAGGCAGCUCACUACACAGCGAUUGACUCUGAGGCACGAAAGCGUGGGGAUCAAACA
This 422-nucleotide ribosomal RNA is filed under the name uncultured Flavisolibacter sp. Its description in RNAcentral is "bacterial SSU rRNA". It matches the Rfam family "Bacterial small subunit ribosomal RNA", at positions 355 to 774 of the family's 1533-position model. The record is from RNAcentral. Lineage: Bacteria; Pseudomonadati; Bacteroidota; Chitinophagia; Chitinophagales; Chitinophagaceae.